Numida meleagris (helmeted guineafowl) is the source of this 659-nucleotide long non-coding RNA. RefSeq lists it as uncharacterized. NCBI's taxonomy places the organism in Eukaryota, Metazoa, Chordata, Aves, Galliformes, Numididae. The transcript has 3 exons. The record is from RefSeq and is a predicted model, not a curated record.
AAUCAAAGCGGGGACAGAAAACAUCACCUCCCUUAGCCAGCAUGAAGUAGUCACUGACCAAAAGAGUCACUUCCAGGAAUUAAAACCAUUUUGUGCCAAGAGUUACCGAAGACUAACAGACAAUUCAGUGGUUUAUAGCAAAGCCAAUGUUGUUUGUCAUCAUACUCAUUAAGGCAUAGUGGGUUUGAAGAAAUAAAAGAAGACAGCAUCAUCUCUGUUUUGAGAAUGAGAUACCUUCAAUCAUUUCAGAAUGUCUACUCCUUCUCGACUAUAAAGCCUCUGUGCUUCACUCUUCCCUUCGUUCUCACUGAAACACUGUACAAGUGCGUGGUUUCAAAGUACCUUAAGCAGAAUACAGGCUGACCAAUUAAGAGGCAAACUAUUCCCUCAGUUUAUGAAGAGAAGAUGAACAUCCAAAGGUAAACAAAACUUUCACUGAGCUUAUUACCCACAAAAUCUGCAACAGAAUUGUACACCAUGACUGUUCAUGGGUGCACACUCCCUCAUUUAAAGUUCACAUACAAAAAACACAGUAUGACUCUCGGCUAGCACUCUGAAGUUCAAAAAUACUUUCAGAAUAUGCAACAACGUUUAGAUUGAACUGUUUAGUGGUAGAUAGCUAAUCUACCAAAAAUGCCAAAAAUGAUCAUCUAAUCUAA